CCUACGGGAGGCAGCAGUAGGGAAUAUUGGUCAAUGGACGAAAGUCUGAACCAGCCAUGCCGCGUGCAGGAGGAAGGCGUCUGCGUUGUAAACUGCUUUUGUACGGGAAGAAUAUUCCGUUUGCGAACGGAUUUGACGGUACCGUAAGAAUAAGGAUCGGCUAACUACGUGCCAGCAGCCGCGGUAAUACGUAGGAUCCAAGCGUUGUCCGGAUUUAUUGGGUUUAAAGGGUGCGCAGGCGGCCUGAUAAGUCAGUGGUGAAAGCCCGUUGCUUAACAACGGAAUUGCCAUUGAUACUGUCGGGCUUGAGUACAGUUGAGGUUGGCGGAAUGUAUCAUGUAGCGGUGAAAUGCUUAGAUAUGAUACAGAACACCGAUUGCGAAGGCAGCUGACUAAGCUGUCACUGACGCUCAGGCACGAAAGCGUGGGGAUCGAACAGGAUUAGAUACCCUGGUAGUCCACGCUGUAAACGUUGCUAACUCGAUGUUGGCGAUAUACAGUCAGCGUCCAAGCGAAAGCGUUAAGUUAUCCACCUGGGGAGUACGCCGGCAACGGUGAAACUCAAAGGAAUUGACGG
RNAcentral lists this ribosomal RNA (577 nucleotides) under uncultured bacterium. RNAcentral describes it as "bacterial SSU rRNA". It matches the Rfam family "Bacterial small subunit ribosomal RNA", at positions 338 to 916 of the family's 1533-position model. The record is from RNAcentral.